CCGCCUUUAGCGAUUGUUUUUGGCCGGUUUUGACUAAUUUCCUCGCCCCCAUUAGACCCCCAUACCUCCCACCACAACCUCUCCCGAGCCAACUAGCGUCUUCUGACCUACCCUCACCCCCACCUUCUCUCACAACUGACCUUGACUCUCAGGUCCAGACGCCCUGACCCCUCACCCGACCCCACGGACACGCGCCACGGGCCCCCUCCCCAGGACUCCUCCCUUAACGACCCCAGUCCUCUGACCUCUGUGCCCUGGAUCCCCAACCACAGCUACUGCAACACCGGGCUCGGCUGACCAGCCCCCUGCCCCCCGCAGGCACCGGCGAGACGCCCACGCUCAGCACGCUGGACUUCUACAUGACGCAGCUGCACGGAGCCAUCGAGCGGGACCCCGCCCAGCACGAGAAGCUCGUGGUCCGCAUCAAGGAGAUCCUGGCCCAGGUUGCCAGUGAGCACCUAUGAAGGUGUUGGUCAGCUCGUGGGGAUCCAGCGAAGACCAAGCUCUGCUGGUGGCCCCCACCCCAUGGAGGAGGGAUGGGGGUCCACCCAUUGGGCCAGGCCCAAUCCUGCACCUUGGGAGCUCCAUUACUCUACAUCCCCUAGCUUUCAACCUCCCCAGCACCCCAAAUCCAGAAAAGUCACCUGCCAUGCACAACACACUUAGAACCCCGUGGCCUCAUAGAGCAUGUCAUACUACAGGGAUGUGGGAACACCACACAUGGGCAGCAUGACCCAGGACACAAGGGGACCAACAGCAGCUCUCCACACUGGUGUAGGGAGGGUGACACAGGCUACAGUGGCUCUAGGGAUCUGCCCCAGGACACAGGGCAGUGGAAACCCAUACCUGACACAGGGAGGGACUCCCCGAAGGUGCUCACCACAAGUGCCCCACGCAAGCAGGCACACUGCAGGACAUGCUCUCAUGCUUGGGGGAGAGCCUUCUGCCUGUGGCCCUCGACUUCCUGCACCUCCGAAUGGAGUAACUGGGACUGACCCCUGCCCUCGUUCAGCUAACCAACCGUCAUGAAGGUGGCCCCUUGGCCACUGCUUAAUCUGGACUUUUAAAUUAAAAAAAAUAAUAAAGUGGAAUUUGAAUUUCAA
This is a long non-coding RNA of Myotis davidii, 1103 nucleotides long. RefSeq lists it as uncharacterized. The record is from RefSeq and is a predicted model, not a curated record. Lineage: Eukaryota; Metazoa; Chordata; Mammalia; Chiroptera; Vespertilionidae. The transcript is spliced from 2 exons.